UGAGCCUUUAAAGUAUAUUUGCAGGGUCGGUGGAACACAGGGCAAGGGGAGAUAGCUGAGCUAAGGGCUUUGGCUGUCUGUCUGUCACCUACGGAGAGUCCGGGUGGGUACCCGUCUACUCACAUGCUGGUCUCUGAGGGGUACGUUGCAAUAGCUCAGUGGGUAUUAGUUUUAUUUCAGGGACUCGUUUUGUAGAAUCUACCCCCUGUUCCUUCGAAGUGUGCCACCUUGCUUCCUCAGGGUCGGGCACCUUCUGUGAGCAGCGGGGGAUCCAGGAGCCCAGAAGGCAGCUGUUUCACCUGUACUGAUGCUGGAUGGCAGGUCUGCCCUGGUUGGCUCUUGUGCAUCCUUCCAGGUACCUGAGCCGGGCUGACAUCAUAGAAAGAUCCAACCUUUUAAGCAUACCUACAUUUACCUGCAGUGGCAAUCGUUUUGCAUUUUAAUGACAAAUCAAGUACGCUAACUUGCAUUUGAAACGAAAGUGCCUUAAAUGUCUCUGGCUGUCAGAAUGAGAUGUUAGGAGCUUGAUGAAAAGCGAACAAAGAAGACAAAGUAUGAAGCCUGGAUACAGUGCAAAAUGAAAUAAAACCUUGUAUGGCCUGUCAGGGGUGUCAGUUGAUAUUCAUAUCUAAAGCGCAUUAUAGCAUUACUUUGCAGCUCAGCGCUUACUCAUGUGUCUUUUUUAAUUCAUCACAUUCGAGCC
RNAcentral lists this long non-coding RNA (703 nucleotides) under Fukomys damarensis (Damara mole-rat). RNAcentral describes it as "lncRNA (ENSFDAG00000021955.1)". The record is from RNAcentral. Lineage: Eukaryota; Metazoa; Chordata; Mammalia; Rodentia; Bathyergidae.